UAAUGGGACUGAAUCUGGGAUUUUUUUGAGUUUUCGAUAGUCGUUAUAAGGAUAAGUUUUUAUUUUUAUGAUUUCGGUUGGCUAUUGGAACUGAAUGAGGGAUCUAGGUAAAGUUUUCCAGGGGAAAGAAUCAAUUUAGGGCUGUGAAUAUGUGAUUUUUGCAGUUUUAAUGUUGGUUUUACUUUGCAGCAAGCAGAAGUUUUAAGGAUCAACAAACUUUAAAAUGGAGGAAAACUAUGGAGCUAAGGUGGGUGGCAUGUGUGGACUGCAGAACAUUUUGAGAACGAAAGACAAAUAAUGACGUAAUGGAAGGAUCUAUCUUUGCUUCUAUUCCAACAACAUUAUUUUGGAUGGCUUAUAUUGCUUGUUUGUUGCUUACAUGGAGUUGAUGGGGUCAGUUAUCUCUCAUUACAAGGAAUCAGUAACACCUCCAAGGAAUCAACCUGUCUAAUUUUAGGCCAUUUGGAAGGCUUUGGCGGGACUACUUUUAAUUUUUUACCAAUAAGGUGAAUCUACUUCUAUUUUUACGCAAAUUUAUUAUUAUUGGAUGGUGUGUUUUAAACUUAGUAAUAUUAACAUUGCUUGAUUUAUGACAGUGAAUGACGGAAGUUAAUGGUUGCAUGAGAUUGGAACAAUCUAUACUUUGGUCUAAAAUUGAUUCCGGUGUUUAGAAAUUUUGCGAACAUGUCAAUGGUUAAG
Molecule: long non-coding RNA, 699 nt
Organism: Papaver somniferum (opium poppy)
Lineage: Eukaryota; Viridiplantae; Streptophyta; Magnoliopsida; Ranunculales; Papaveraceae
Exons: 4
Source: RefSeq, a predicted model, not a curated record